CCAGACUCCUACGGGAGGCAGCAGUGAGGAAUAUUGGUCAAUGGACGCAAGUCUGAACCAGCCAAGUAGCGUGCAGGAUGACGGCCCUAUGGGUUGUAAACUGCUUUUAUAUGGGGAUAAAGUGGGGAACGUGUUCCCUUUUGCAGGUACCAUAUGAAUAAGGACCGGCUAAUUCCGUGCCAGCAGCCGCGGUAAUACGGAAGGUUCGGGCGUUAUCCGGAUUUAUUGGGUUUAAAGGGAGCGUAGGCCGUUUGGUAAGCGUGUUGUGAAAUGUAGGAGCUCAACUUCUAGAUUGCAGCGCGAACUGUCAGACUUGAGUGCGCACAACGUAGGCGGAAUUCAUGGUGUAGCGGUGAAAUGCUUAGAUAUCAUGAAGAACUCCGAUUGCGAAGGCAGCUUACGGGAGCGCAACUGACGCUGAAGCUCGAAGGUGCGGGUAUCGAACAGGAUUAGAUACCCUGGUAGUCCGCACAGUAAACGAUGGAUGCCCGCUGUUAGCACCUAGUGUUAGCGGCUAAGCGAAAGCAUUAAGCAUCCCACCUGGGGAGUACGCCGGCAACGGUGAAACUCAAAGGAAUUGACGGGGGCCCGCACAAG
This 597-nucleotide ribosomal RNA is filed under the name uncultured bacterium. Its description in RNAcentral is "bacterial SSU rRNA". It matches the Rfam family "Bacterial small subunit ribosomal RNA", at positions 331 to 929 of the family's 1533-position model. The record is from RNAcentral.